GCUGUGGAGAAGCUGAUUGGACAACUGCAGGACUCCAACAACCAACCAGAUCUCAGCACUACGACACUACAGCCUGUAGAUGUCAACACUGAGGAGGCUGCCAACCAGGACCUGGACCCACUGUCUGCCAAGAGGCCCAGGAGAGGUCAGAGGAAACCCUCCACAGUCAAAGGAGCCAAGAAGUCCAGCAGAUCGGCAGAGUCCUCCGAGGAGAGUGAUGGGGAGAAUGUUCCAGACUCGGUGCCGGUACCCCGUUCAUCCCGCCGGGCCAAGACGGCAGCUUUGGACAAAACCAGACUGGACCUCAGUGCCCUCAUCAACCAGGAGGCCAACGCCUCGUAGAGUCCCACGUCAGAUAGGGUAGAGAGGUCAGAGGUCAGGAUGCCGAGUGGAAUCAGUAAUGUAUCAGAGUAGUGGACAUGUAGAUCAACAGGUUUAGAGACAGAAGGAAUUCCUAUCAUCAACCUGAAUGAAAAAUGUGAUUUUAUUGGAUUAAAUAAACUUUUAAACUUC
Molecule: long non-coding RNA, 513 nt
Organism: Oncorhynchus nerka (sockeye salmon)
Lineage: Eukaryota; Metazoa; Chordata; Actinopteri; Salmoniformes; Salmonidae
Exons: 4
Source: RefSeq, a predicted model, not a curated record